RNAcentral lists this ribosomal RNA (292 nucleotides) under uncultured bacterium. RNAcentral's name for it is "partial 16S ribosomal RNA". It matches the Rfam family "Bacterial small subunit ribosomal RNA", at positions 775 to 1067 of the family's 1533-position model. The record is from RNAcentral.
GGAUUAGAUACCCUGGUAGUCCACGCAGUAAACGUUGUACACUCGGUGUAUCGGAUAUUAAAAUCUGAUGUGCCCAAGCUAACGCAUUAAGUGUACCGCCUGGGAAGUACGGUCGCAAGACUAAAACUCAAAGGAAUUGACGGGGGCCCGCACAAGCGGUGGAGCAUGUGGUUUAAUUCGACAACGCGCAGAACCUUACCUGGGUUUGACAUCCUGUGAAAUUCCCGUAAUUGGGAGUGUGCCUUCGGGAGCACAGAGACAGGUGCUGCAUGGCUGUCGUCAGCUCGUGUUG